CGAAUUGCCGGUGGCUUGAGGCUUCUGGGCACCUGGUUAGGGUUUGGAUGAGUGGGGGUGGGAGGAGAGUCAACUCGAAUCCAGUGAACCCUUGGGUUCAUGGGGAGCAUGUACCCUCCGAUAGGAGGCAUGCACGUCUCCUUCAUCAAAGAAGCCACUCCCGAUAACAUUUUCCUUCUGUUAAGCAGGUGAAUCCGGUUCAACUGACGGUCAGAAAAGACAAAACAAACCAAAGACUUUCCUUUAGUUUGCUCUGAUUCAUUCGAAUUCCCCUUUUUGCCAUUUAUUUUCAUUCGGGCCCAAGCCAAGAGGCCGCCGGCGAUUUCACUGCACAACCAAGCUCCAACAGCGUGGAGUCAAUCGGUGGCAAGAAUCAACCAGUGGUAUAAGCCAGGCGCUCCCAUGGUUUCAGGCAUUCCCACAUGAAAAGGCUUGUCGCUUGUAUUUCUCUUCUUUUCUGCUAAUCUAAAAUUUUUUGUUAUUGACAAAACAAAUACAAUGGGACAAACCUCAAGCUAUUCUCUCUAGUUUUCAGCUGGCUAGAAGGUUGAGCUUUAAAGCUUUAUAGGUUUUUUUUUGGACUGUCCUAUGCUGGUAGUGCUUGAAGAAAGAUCAUAUAUAUCAUCUUUCUUUAA
Molecule: non-coding RNA, 635 nt
Organism: Nelumbo nucifera (sacred lotus)
Lineage: Eukaryota; Viridiplantae; Streptophyta; Magnoliopsida; Proteales; Nelumbonaceae
Source: RefSeq, a predicted model, not a curated record